CCUAUUUGAAUCUCAUUGCAUUAAAUUUUAGGGAAAAAUGCAGUAAAAGUCUCAAACUUUUGAAAUAUGAACAGACUUUUCUCAAACAUUUCAUUUAUUGCGUCAUAAUCCCUAAUAUUUCCAAACGUUGCAUGUGAGGUCCAUUCGGAUGGUUUCCGUCAAAAAUUUCGUCAGUUGACCGUCAAAAUAAACUUUGACCAUCUUUUAAUCAAGUUUAAAAUAAUAAAAUGGUAACUUUCUACUUACCACAUUAAACAAUUAAAAAAAACUUAAAUAAAAAAAGAAAAAGGAUCUUCUUCCUCACCCAACACCCCUCAAUCAAAAACCAACAAUAAUACAGCUCAAUGUUAUUCGAUAGCCUCGAAAUCUCGCUCUUAAACUUCCUUCCGAUCUCCGCGAAGUCGGUCCUAAUCCCCCAACCCCAUUUGGAUCCUCUACCGACUUAUUCUUCAAAUCUAGGUUGAACUAGGACGGCUGCCAUGGUGGGGCUAGAAAUGAUACAACGCCCCAGAAAUGGUUGGUGAGGGUUUUACUAAGCUCCGACAGAUCUUCUUUGAUACCACGUGAUGGUGAAGUUGGAGACGAGCAUAAUUGUCCAAGUGUUACAAGCUUCUAGGUCCAGAUUGGGCCAUGUUAAUCGUGCUAUCGUCAUCGAGUUUGAGAGUGUUGGCUAUGGAUCGGGCCAACCACGACAUUGCAAAUUAAUAUAGGCGGUAGGAUACGCGUUCGAUUGACUUUGAUUCUCCAAUCGUCGAUGAUGACUUUGGGUGGGUGGCGUGGGGUAGGGCAGGGUUUGAGAAGAGAGGGAGAUCGGACAAGAUUCUUUCAAUACGCCUUUGCUUGAAACCGGUGGUUUCAAUCAGAGGUGGAGGUCGUGGGAGAAGGCGGGGACGAUGAAUUUAUUAUUGUUGGUUUUAGAUUGAGAGGAUGAGUUGGGGAAGAAGAUCCAUUUUUCUUUUUUUUUUUCUUUUUUUUUUCUUUUUUUUUAGGUUUUUGAUUUAAGUUUUCUUUAAUUGUUUAAUGUGAUAAAUAGAAUGUUACCAUUUUACCCUUUUAAAAUUGAUCAAAAGAUGGUCUAAAUUUAUUUUGAUAGUCAAUUGAUGAAAUUUUUUACGAAAACUAUCCAAAGGGGCCUUACAUGCAACGUUUUGAAAGGUUAGGGGUGACGGCUGCAAUAAAUGAAAGGUUCUAGGAAAGUCUAGUAAUGUUUCAAAAG
This 1216-nucleotide long non-coding RNA is filed under the name Olea europaea subsp. europaea. The record is from RNAcentral. Lineage: Eukaryota; Viridiplantae; Streptophyta; Magnoliopsida; Lamiales; Oleaceae.